This 599-nucleotide ribosomal RNA is filed under the name Salmonella enterica subsp. enterica serovar Goldcoast. Its description in RNAcentral is "partial 23S ribosomal RNA". It matches the Rfam family "Bacterial large subunit ribosomal RNA", at positions 711 to 1307 of the family's 2925-position model. The record is from RNAcentral. Lineage: Bacteria; Pseudomonadati; Pseudomonadota; Gammaproteobacteria; Enterobacterales; Enterobacteriaceae.
AGACCCGAAACCCGGUGAUCUAGCCAUGGGCAGGUUGAAGGUUGGGUAACACUAACUGGAGGACCGAACCGACUAAUGUUGAAAAAUUAGCGGAUGACCUGUGGCUGGGGGUGAAAGGCCAAUCAAACCGGGAGAUAGCUGGUUCUCCCCGAAAGCUAUUUAGGUAGCGCCUCGUGAAUUCAUCUCCGGGGGUAGAGCACUGUUUCGGCUAGGGGGCCAUCCCGGCUUACCAACCCGAUGCAAACUGCGAAUACCGGAGAAUGUUAUCACGGGAGACACACGGCGGGUGCUAACGUCCGUCGUGAAGAGGGAAACAACCCAGACCGCCAGCUAAGGUCCCAAAGUCAUGGUUAAGUGGGAAACGAUGUGGGAAGGCCCAGACAGCCAGGAUGUUGGCUUAGAAGCAGCCAUCAUUUAAAGAAAGCGUAAUAGCUCACUGGUCGAGUCGGCCUGCGCGGAAGAUGUAACGGGGCUAAACCAUGCACCGAAGCUGCGGCAGCGACACUAUGUGUUGUUGGGUAGGGGAGCGUUCUGUAAGCCUGCGAAGGUGUCUCGUGAGGGAUGCUGGAGGUAUCAGAAGUGCGAAUGCUGACAUAAGU